CCUACGGGAGGCUGCAGUGAGGAAUAUUGGUCAAUGGACGAGAGUCUGAACCAGCCAAGUAGCGUGAAGGAUGACUGCCCUAUGGGUUGUAAACUUCUUUUAUAUGGGAAUAAAAUGUUCCACGUGUGGGAUUUUGUAUGUACCAUAUGAAUAAGGAUCGGCUAACUCCGUGCCAGCAGCCGCGGUAAUACGGAGGGUCCGAGCGUUAUCCGGAUUUAUUGGGUUUAAAGGGAGCGUAGGUGGAUUGUUAAGUCAGUUGUGAAAGUUUGCGGCUCAACCGUAAAAUUGCAGUUGAAACUGGCAGUCUUGAGUACAGUAGAGGUGGGCGGAAUUCGUGGUGUAGCGGUGAAAUGCUUAGAUAUCACGAAGAACUCCGAUUGCGAAGGCAGUUCACUGGACUGCAACUGACACUGAGGCUCGAAAGUGUGGGUAUCAAACAGGAUUAGAUACCCUAGUAGUC
This 460-nucleotide ribosomal RNA is filed under the name uncultured bacterium. RNAcentral describes it as "partial 16S ribosomal RNA". It matches the Rfam family "Bacterial small subunit ribosomal RNA", at positions 338 to 795 of the family's 1533-position model. The record is from RNAcentral.